GCCAGUGUGGUACAGUGGUUAGAGCGUUGGACCAGGACUUGGGAGAUCAGGGUUCAAGUCCCCACUCGGGCA
Molecule: non-coding RNA, 72 nt
Organism: Podarcis lilfordi (Lilford's wall lizard)
Lineage: Eukaryota; Metazoa; Chordata; Lepidosauria; Squamata; Lacertidae
Source: the annotation of a GenBank genome assembly